UUCGCAAUUUUAUAUGCACGCAGUAAAAGGGUAUCUGCAAAUUAUGGUUGGUUUGGUGACUUGAUCUACUUGUCACUGACAACAGUUAUCGGCAUCAAGAAACCAUUGCCUUUUUGAAAUGUUAUUGGAAAUAUCAGAACUUGUGCAGAUUGAUUCUUUUACGGUUUGCGUUGGCAAUCUGAGUCUGAGAUUACAACAGGGAUAAGUCAGCUAGCCGAAAAUAUAAUUUUUAGUUGGGAGCAACAAAACCACAAACUUUGCGCCAAGAUAAGCAAUCUAUUGCAGUGAAGCUGGUGUUUUCAUGCUUUAAUAGCAUCAGAGUGAGAACGCUGUGAUGGAUCCGCUGAUGGGAGCCUUGUAUCCUUCUAAUGGGCUCCGCCCAGAUGAUCAGUCGAUCUCUGCUGUUGUAGAUCAUUGUUUAGCUUCUAGACCGACUUUUCAAAGCGCACCUG
This 452-nucleotide long non-coding RNA is filed under the name Eucalyptus grandis. Its description in RNAcentral is "long non-coding RNA (EGRA_LNC006590)". The record is from RNAcentral. Lineage: Eukaryota; Viridiplantae; Streptophyta; Magnoliopsida; Myrtales; Myrtaceae.